AUCCAGGGGCACAAUGGCUCAGUACAUCUGGCUGUGAACCCUAGAAGGUUGGUGGUUCGAGCCCACCCAGGGAUU
Molecule: non-coding RNA, 75 nt
Organism: Podarcis lilfordi (Lilford's wall lizard)
Lineage: Eukaryota; Metazoa; Chordata; Lepidosauria; Squamata; Lacertidae
Source: the annotation of a GenBank genome assembly